UUGCUUAAAAUUGAUUUGGCUAAGGCUUUCGAUCGACUUGAAUGGAAUUUCAUUGUUUCGGCUCUUUCGCGAAGGGGGUUGCACGGUCAUUUCAUAAAUUUGGUGUAUGCUUGCAUCUCUUCCCCAAGGUUCUUAGUCAUUAAUAAUGGCCAGCCUUUUGCGAACUUUCGUAGCAAUAGAGGUUUAAGACAGGGUUGUCCCUUAUCGCCUUAUCUAUUUGUUCUUGCUAUUAAUGAGCUUUCUUUAAGCCUGCAUGAUGCUAUGAUACAAAAUCAACUGUCUGGCAUUUCUCUUGGUCCAAACUGUCCACCUAUUCAUUCAAUGCUUUUUGCUGAUGACUUGUUGGUUUGUGGUAAUGCCACAGUUCAGGAAGCUACCCAAAUGGCUCAUCUCAUCAACCACUUCUGUUCCCAAUCAGGUUAG
This 423-nucleotide ribosomal RNA is filed under the name Triticum aestivum (bread wheat). RNAcentral's name for it is "partial small subunit ribosomal RNA". The record is from RNAcentral. Lineage: Eukaryota; Viridiplantae; Streptophyta; Magnoliopsida; Poales; Poaceae.